This 127-nucleotide ribosomal RNA is filed under the name Micromonospora craterilacus. RNAcentral's name for it is "Jishengella sp. NA12 partial 23S ribosomal RNA". The stretch from base 14 to 127 matches the Rfam family "Bacterial large subunit ribosomal RNA", at positions 1 to 113 of the family's 2925-position model. The record is from RNAcentral. Lineage: Bacteria; Bacillati; Actinomycetota; Actinomycetes; Micromonosporales; Micromonosporaceae.
CGAGCAUCUUUGUGGUCAAGUUGUCAAGGGCGAACGGUGGAUGCCUUGGCACCAGGAGCCGAUGAAGGACGUGGGAGGCCGCGAUAGGCCUGGGGGAGCUGUCAACCAAGCUGUGAUCCCAGGGUGU